CUCCUAGAAUAAUGUAGCAAGUGGUAGUAACCAAAAUAUCAAGAGCAUUUAUUUCACGGGGAAUAACAGGGAUAGGAUAAUGUUUUGGGCUAUUCUCUCCUAGAUAGGAGUAGAAUAAUUUUAGGUGAAUCUGGAGAUGGAAAGGAGUAGAUGUAUGUGGAUGCGUACUUCCGGAGUAGAAGCAGCAUGUAUGAGUGAACGUGCAAGUGAAUCUUGAUUUUAACCGCAUGACAAGCUCCUAAGGGUCU
This 248-nucleotide long non-coding RNA is filed under the name Sorghum bicolor (sorghum). Its description in RNAcentral is "long non-coding RNA (SBIC_LNC016127)". The record is from RNAcentral. Lineage: Eukaryota; Viridiplantae; Streptophyta; Magnoliopsida; Poales; Poaceae.